GUCAGACGGUUAAGGUUUCUCUUUCAAUGAAGUAAUUUUUUAAAGGCUAAGUGCUGGAUGUGAACUAUGGAUUGCAUUUUCCUAAGUUGCCUUGAGUUGCCAUGGCAACAUUUUAAAAUGGUGGUGGCUGUGGCUUGACACCAACUACAUUCUUGUGCAUAAGUGAAGCCCCCCACCCCCCCUGCUCUCCUCCUCCACAAGAUCAUAAUGGAGUGUUUUAACCGAGCAGACCUUUUGUACUCGAUAAAAUAUUUAGUGGGUUGUAGUAAAUAUUCAUUUGUCUUCCUUUCACAACAUUACACAUCUCUUGAUUAUUAACAGUUCUGCGGCAUGUGUCUGUGUUUUGGGCAGGGGGGACGUCAGAGAAGAAUUUUUAUCUUUCAUGAACAAACCAGCUCAUUAAAACGAGAUCUGCUAAUCAGCCAGAUGGCCUCGUGAUAGUGUAAAUAUUGGUUGUUUAAUUGGCUGACCUGCUUGACACUUUCUUCCUUUAAAAAGAUCAAAUGGUAGAUAAUAAUUUAUGCAUCUCAAGAAUAUGAUUUCCUGGUUUCAUCCAUAUUUCAGUGGCAAAUCCUAAUUUCCCAUUAAUGUCCAUUGUAGCUGGAAGAGGCUGCAAUAUAUUCCGUAAGCAUGGAUGAAGAUGUUCAUGCACCAUAUCCCUCAAGAGUUAGGAUGUGUAACAAUUAAACUCUGUAGCAAAAAAACACUUUAUGUUCACAUGGAAAUUGGGACACUUUAGAAUGCAUGGCCUCCCUUUACUCGUUUUAUAAGAGCGAACUGCGAAAUAGCUUGGACAUCAAUUUUUUGCACUGUUUUCAUUUUAAUGAUUUUUUAAUGUGUGCAUUCACCUUGUAUUGUGAUUGUUUUUGUAAUAACAAUUGAAAUUAAAAUAGUUCUGCAUUUGGAUAUCACAAUAAACCAUCAUUUAUUGUGAUCUGAGCAAGCAACAGCAAGCCUCUGGCUUGUGCAUCCUCCAUUCCACUGCUCUGAUGUGGUUGCAAUAAGCUCAGAACUCCCACUUACAGUUUAGCUUUAACUGCAGCUUGUUAUUCUUUCCAAACCCAACAAACCGUGGUUAAUCCUAACUAUUGUUGGUUAGAAACAAGCCAUAGGUUGUUAAGAUGACUUAUUUCACCAAUACAUCCAAGUUGGUGGCCAUCAUUGCCUCCUGUGUGAGUGAGUUCCCUUGUUUAACUACGCACUGUGUGAAGAAGCGCUUCCUUUUAUCUGUCCUGAAUAUUCAGCAUUCAGCUUCAUUGGAGUUCUACUGUGAUGAGAGGAGAAAAAAAUAUUUUUCUUUCCACUUGCUCCAUGUUGUGCAUAAUUUUAUAAACUGCUAUAUUGUCACCUCUUGCCCACUUGCCCACUCUAAACUAAAAAGUUCCAAAUGCUGCAACCUUCCCUCAGUAGAGUUGUUCCUUUAGCAUUUUGGUUGCCCUUUCUUGAACCUUUUCCAACUCUACACUUAUGCAUUAUCAUCUCUUUUCCAUCCAGGAUAGCAUAAAGCAUUAUAAGAAUUAAAGGACAGGCAAAAACAUGCAAGGAGGGUGCAAAGCAGACCUGAGCAUGGUGUGGUGUGUGUGGCUUGGAGUCCUGAGGGCCAGAGGUAUGGGGAGCUGCAUUUGCCCCCCAAGCCUGAGGUCCCCUGCAAUCUAAGAACCAGUGCAGAUGCUAUAAUACCCUCUUCCCCUCUGUGAACCUCUAUUGUACCAUCUCCCCCUUAAACACAUCCACCCCUCUUGAUGAAUACACCCUCCCUAUCAAUUUAGCCUCUCCUCAUAGGGAAGACACAACUGCCCUUUGUCUUUCUGUACUUUCCCCAACUCUGGGAUUUCAAGAAGCAGGACACUGUGUUCUGUAUUACCUGAAGCUUCUGGGUUGAAAAAUAAAUAUUUCCCCAAGCUGAAUAGUAGGAAUAUAAUCAAAGCAGUGUGAUUUCUGUGGUGCAUGGUCUGGAAACCUCAGGAAAUGAACUUUGACUGCCAGUCAUGUUUCCGCAUUUGCUGCUGGCCGUAUCGUGGCAGAGUUAAAGCUUUGAAGGCUGCCUUUUCCCUCACUUAGAUAAGCUUUAAGAGGUGAUCUCCGAAUCAUGUCAAGCACAGAAUGAGGAUUUGAAGAGAGUGACAAACACAAGGCCCGUUGCAAUUCCUGUGAGCCUUUCAAUAACCAGAAUCCCUGGGCUCUUGGCAGAAAGAAAAUCUGUUUUACAGAAACUCUCAAUAGCCCACUUCAGCAUAACAGGAUCUUCUUUGUUUUGUUUUUCAAGUCAGGAUGUGUGAACUCAACCCAGUUACCACAAAAGGAGCACUGUAUUAUAUAUAGAGAGGGGGGGGGUCCUCUCUGGGGGAGUCCAACCCCCCUUUUGGGGGUGUCCAUUCUGCUUCUAGAUUUCUGGAAACAAUUUAGACCAGGGAUUGAGACUAUUUUACAACCUGAGGGCUAUAUUCCCUUUGUGAAGAAGUAAUGGGUGGGGACAGAUGCAAAAGGAGGAUAAGGCCAGAAGAAUGGAGGGUUUUUACUCUUGUACAAAAUCUUGCUUUCUAUCUGAACAAAAAAAUAAUAGUUUUCUACACAUUAACACAUUGCAAGAAGCAUUAUCCAAGUUCAAUAAGAUAUUCCAGCCUGGCAAAAGUAAUGAAGGAGGAAACAGGGCAGGACGAGUGAGAGAUUUGGAGAUUUGAGAUCUGGGAAUGGGACAUAGCCUAGGGAACAUCCCCAGCAGGCCUAGAGAGCUGCAUUUGGGGACUGGGUCUGAGUUCCCACCACCCUUGAUUCAGAACUUUGCCACUCGACUUAAAUUUCAGAGACUGCAGGGAAGUCCUGUAAAGAUGUGAACAAUGCUAAUAGCAAAAGUCUCAAAUAUGAUAAUGAGCACUACAAAAGUUAUUGUUAUAUCAUUUGCUUUGUAGCUUAAUCAUGCCUCCUUGCCCGCCCCCCAUUUAAGUAUUGGGCCAUUCAACUGAAUUACAGAAAUGAUGACAAACUCUCAUUUUCCCAACAACAAUGCAUCUUCUAUCUUUCCAAAAUGGACACUGACAUUUUAUAGACCUUUCUUGGAUUGAAGGUGGGGCAGAGCUGACACCCUGACUCCCUUUUCAUUGUUCCUCAUUGUGGGGUCCUGUGGUGAUUGUGAUUCCAGCGAUCUCUUGGUCCCUUGCUUUGUUUUUUAACCUGUAAAAUAUUUUUAGAGCUUAAACAUCACCAUGCCCUAUCGUCAUGAAGCUAAAUCAUAGUAAAGGCAAAGCUUCCAGAUUUGUGGGUUUAAAAAAAGGGGGGGGAAAGUGCUGAAUAGCAGUUCACAACACUAUCCGUGCUGAUAGUAUUACUGCUUAGAUUAUCUCAGUAAUAGAUGUUGACACUAAACUAUGGUCCCUUUUGGAGUAGGAGCUCAUCAUUAAAGCUCCCAUAGUCACACCCUCAAGGUAAGUCCAAAAAUGUAGACAGCACAGAGCAUAAUAUACAAUUAAUUAGGAUAAGCUAGCAGUCAUAUAUUAGUGGGCUGGUAAAGGAUAGUGUAAUUGUUAGCAUGCUGGAAUUAGGCUGGGAAGAUCUGGAUUCACAUUCCUGAAGACCUGUGGAAGGUGAGUGUAAUCCUAAAUUAUGUGGGAGUAAGCUCCACUGAGGGACGCGGGUGGCGCUGUGGGUAAAACCUCAGUGCCUAGGACUUGCCGAUCGUAUGGUCGGCGGAUCGAAUCCCCACGGGGGGGUGAGCUCCCAUCGUUCAGUCCCAGCUCCUGCCCACCUAGCAGUUCGAAAGCACACCUAAGUGCAAGUAGAUAAAUAGGUAGCGCUUUAUAGUGGGAAGGUAAACAGCGUUUCCGUGUGCUGCUCUGGUACAGGCUCGCCAGAGCAGCUUCGUCACGCUGGCCACGUGACCCGGAAGUGUCUUCAGACAGCGCUGGCCCCCGGCCUCUUAAGCGAGAUGGGCGCACAACCCCAGAGUCGGUCACGACUGGCCCGUACGGGCAGGGGUACAUUUACCUUUACCUUUAAGCUCCACUGACUCAGUAUAUUCUUGGCUUGUCUGCUUGCAUUUGAACAUCUUUUAAAACUUUGCAGCUUACACUGAACUUCCUGGUGCUUGUUUCUGUCCAUAAUACAAACAGGCCUCUGAUAGUCCUUUUUUAAAAAAAAUAAUAAUAUUUAUUACUUUUAUAGAUUAC
RNAcentral lists this long non-coding RNA (4163 nucleotides) under Podarcis lilfordi (Lilford's wall lizard). The record is from RNAcentral. Lineage: Eukaryota; Metazoa; Chordata; Lepidosauria; Squamata; Lacertidae.